GAUUAACGCUGGCGGCGUGCAUAACACAUGCAAGUCGAACGAUGAAACUUAACUGAUUUCUUCGGAAUGAUUUUAAGUGGAUUAGUGGCGGACGGGUGAGUAACGCGUGAGUAACCUGCCUUGGAGAAGGGGAUAGCCUUUGGAAACGAAGAAUAAUACCCUAUGAUAUGAUAAUAUCUCAUGAUAUUAUCAUCAAAGAUUUAUCGCUCUAAGAUGGACUUGCGUCUGAUUAGUUAGUUGGUGAGGUAACAGCUCACCAAGGCAGCGAUCAGUAGCCGGCUUGAGAGAGUGUACGGCCUCAUUGGGACUGAGACACGGCCCAGACUCCUACGGGAGGCAGCAGUGGGGAAUUUUGCACAAUGGGGGAAACCCUGAUGCAGCGACGCCGCGUGAUUUAGAAGGCCUUCGGGUUGUAAAAAUCUUUUGUAUGGGAAGAAAAUGACAGUACCAUACGAAUAAGGACCGGCUAAUUACGUG
This 477-nucleotide ribosomal RNA is filed under the name uncultured bacterium. Its description in RNAcentral is "partial 16S ribosomal RNA". It matches the Rfam family "Bacterial small subunit ribosomal RNA", at positions 28 to 507 of the family's 1533-position model. The record is from RNAcentral.